Molecule: non-coding RNA, 394 nt
Organism: Sorex araneus (European shrew)
Lineage: Eukaryota; Metazoa; Chordata; Mammalia; Eulipotyphla; Soricidae
Source: the annotation of a RefSeq genome assembly
AGUUCUGAGUGUCUGCACCAUGGCCCGGACUCCACUCUUUCUCCUCUCCUUCCUCCUUCACUGCAUAGGGUCCCUCUCUCAGCCUGCUCUGACUCAAGAAUCUUCUGCAUCUGCCUCCCUGAAAACCUCAGUAAAGCUCACCUGUACGCUGAGCAGUGGCUACAGUGGCUACAUUGUGGAAUGGUACCAGCAGAGCCAAGGAAAAAGCCCCCGGUUUGUGAUGCGUGUGGAUCACGAUGGUCAAGUUGGAUCCAAGGGAGACGGGAUCCCUGAUCGCUUCUCAGUAUCAGGUUCUGGCCUGGAUCGGUUCCUGACCAUCCAGAACAUCCAAGCAGAAGAUGAGGCUGACUACAUCUGUGGGGUUGGGCAUAGUACUGGGAGCAGCUACGUGUAA